CAGUCGCCACGGGAAUACGAAGGGUGCAAGCGUUAAUCGGAAUUACUGUGCGUAAAGCGUGCGUAGGCGGUUUGUUAAGUCUGCUGUGAAAUCCCCGGGCUCAACCUGGGAAUGGCAGUGGAUACUGGCAAGCUAGAGUGUGUCAGAGGAUGGUGGAAUUCCCGGUGUAGCGGUGAAAUGCGUAGAGAUCGGGAGGAACAUCAGUGGCGAAGGCGGCCAUCUGGGACAACCCUGACGCUGAGGCACGAAAGCGUGGGGAGCAAACAGGAUUAGAGACCCGGGUAGUCCCUGUCUCUUAUAC
Molecule: ribosomal RNA, 301 nt
Filed under: uncultured bacterium
Lineage: Bacteria
Description: partial 16S ribosomal RNA
Rfam family: Bacterial small subunit ribosomal RNA
Source: RNAcentral